AACGCACAUUGCGCCCCUUGGUAUUCCGAGGGGCAUGCCUGUUCGAGCGUCAUUACACCAAUCAAGCACGGCUUGGUAUUAGGCCGUCGUCCCCCCGAGAAGGGGGGGCGCGCCUCAAAACCUUCGGCGAAGUCACACCGGCUUUGGGCGUAGUAGAAAUAAAACGUCCUCUGGGCCGCGCGUGUCUUCCGCCGUCAAACCCCCAAAUCUAUCACCAGGUUGACCUCGGAUCAGGUAGGGAUACCCGCUGAACUUAA
RNAcentral lists this unclassified non-coding RNA (257 nucleotides) under uncultured fungus. Its description in RNAcentral is "partial contains 5.8S ribosomal RNA, internal transcribed spacer 2, and large subunit ribosomal RNA". The stretch from base 1 to 52 matches the Rfam family "5.8S ribosomal RNA", at positions 103 to 154 of the family's 154-position model. The record is from RNAcentral. Lineage: Eukaryota; Fungi.